AUGAGUAACGACAAUGGGUGUGAAAAACACCCACGCCGAAAGACCAAGGGUUCCUGCGCAACGUUAAUCGACGCAGGGUUAGUCGGUUCCUAAGGCGAGGCUGAAAAGCGUAGUCGAUGGGAAACAGGUUAAUAUUCCUGUACUUCUGGUUACUGCGAUGGAGGGACGGAGAAGGCUAGGCCAGCUUGGCGUUGGUUGUCCAAGUUUAAGGUGGUAGGCUGAAAUCUUAGGUAAAUCCGGGGUUUCAAGGCCGAGAGCUGAUGACGAGUCGUCUUUUAGAUGACGAAGUGGUUGAUGCCAUGCUUCCAAGAAAAGCUUCUAAGCUUCAGGUAACCAGGAACCGUACCCCAAACCGACACAGGUGGUCGGGUAGAGAAUACCAAGGCGCUUGAGAGAACUCGGGUGAAGGAACUAGGCAAAAUGGCACCGUAACUUCGGGAGAAGGUGCGCCGGCUAGGGUGAAGGAUUUACUCCGUAAGCUCUGGCUGGUCGAAGAUACCAGGCCGCUGCGACUGUUUAUUAAAAACACAGCACUCUGCAAACACGAAAGUGGACGUAUAGGGUGUGACGCCUGCCCGGUGCCGGAAGGUUAAUUGAUGGGGUUAGCGCAAGCGAAGCUCUUGAUCGAAGCCCCGGUAAACGGCGGCCGUAACUAUAACGGUCCUAAGGUAGCGAAAUUCCUUGUCGGGUAAGUUCCGACCUGCACGAAUGGCGUAACGAUGGCGGCGCUGUCUCCACCCGAGACUCAGUGAAAUUGAAAUCGCUGUGAAGAUGCAGUGUAUCCGCGGCUAGACGGAAAGACCCCGUGAACCUUUACUGUAGCUUUGCACUGGACUUUGAGCCUGCUUGUGUAGGAUAGGUGGGAGGCUUUGAAGCGUGGACGCCAGUUCGCGUGGAGCCAUCCUUGAAAUACCACCCUGGCAUGCUUGAGGUUCUAACUCUGGUCCGUGAUCCGGAUCGAGGACAGUGUAUGGUGGGCAGUUUGACUGGGGCGGUCUCCUCCUAAAGAGUAACGGAGGAGUACGAAGGUGCGCUCAGACCGGUCGGAAAUCGGUCGCAGAGUAUAAAGGCAAAAGCGCGCUUGACUGCGAGACAGACACGUCGAGCAGGUACGAAAGUAGGUCUUAGUGAUCCGGUGGUUCUGUAUGGAAGGGCCAUCGCUCAACGGAUAAAAGGUACUCCGGGGAUAACAGGCUGAUACCGCCCAAGAGUUCAUAUCGACGGCGGUGUUUGGCACCUCGAUGUCGGCUCAUCACAUCCUGGGGCUGAAGCCGGUCCCAAGGGUAUGGCUGUUCGCCAUUUAAAGUGGUACGCGAGCUGGGUUUAGAACGUCGUGAGACAGUUCGGUCCCUAUCUGCCGUGGACGUUUGAGAUUUGAGAGGGGCUGCUCCUAGUACGAGAGGACCGGAGUGGACGAACCUCUGGUGUUCCGGUUGUCACGCCAGUGGCAUUGCCGGGUAGCUAUGUUCGGAAAAGAUAACCGCUGAAAGCAUCUAAGCGGGAAACUUGCCUCAAGAUGAGAUCUCACUGGGAACUUGAUUCCCCUGAAGGGCCGUCGAAGACUACGACGUUGAUAGGCUGGGUGUGUAAGCGUUGUGAGGCGUUGAGCUAACCAGUACUAAUUGCCCGUGAGGCUUGACCAU
RNAcentral lists this ribosomal RNA (1643 nucleotides) under Pseudomonas aeruginosa BWHPSA005. RNAcentral describes it as "bacterial LSU rRNA". It matches the Rfam family "Bacterial large subunit ribosomal RNA", at positions 1302 to 2925 of the family's 2925-position model. Lineage: Bacteria; Pseudomonadati; Pseudomonadota; Gammaproteobacteria; Pseudomonadales; Pseudomonadaceae. The record is from RNAcentral.